AAGUCUGAAGUUAAAGGCUGUGGCUUAACCAUAGUACGCUUUGGAAACUGUUUAACUUGAGUGCAAGAGGGGAGAGUGGAAUUCCAUGUGUAGCGGUGAAAUGCGUAGAUAUAUGGAGGAACACCGGUGGCGAAAGCGGCUCUCUGGCUUGUAACUGACGCUGAGGCUCGAAAGCGUGGGGAGCAAACAGGAUUAGAUACCCUGGUAGUCCACGCCGUAAACGAUGAGUGCUAGGUGUUAGACCCUUUCCGGGGUUUAGUGCCGUAGCUAACGCAUUAAGCACUCCGCCUGGGGAGUACGACCGCAAGGUUGAAACUCAAAGGAAUUGACGGGGGCCCGCACAAGCGGKGGAGCAUGUGGUUUAAUUCGAAGCAACGCGAAGAACCUUACCAGGUCUUGACAUCCCUCUGACCGCUCUAGAGAUAGAGUUUUCCUUCGGGACAGAGGUGACAGGUGGUGCAUGGUUGUCGUCAGCUCGUGUCGUGAGAAG
RNAcentral lists this ribosomal RNA (490 nucleotides) under uncultured bacterium. RNAcentral's name for it is "bacterial SSU rRNA". It matches the Rfam family "Bacterial small subunit ribosomal RNA", at positions 585 to 1074 of the family's 1533-position model. The record is from RNAcentral.